CCAAGUUGGUGAUGAUGUUGAUAAAAACUGAUGCUUCCUAUGUGCUGGGCCCUCUUCUAAACACUUACACACGUUAACAGAUCUAAUCUUUAUAGCAAUGGCAUAGCUAGGCCCUGCAGUAACCAUCUUCCCGGUUUUACAAAUAAGGAACCCUGGGCUUCAGGAGGGUGACCUGCACUUGGUCACACAGUUGGGCAGUGGAAGAGGGGAUUUGAGUCUAGGCAGCCUGGCUCAAGUCCCUGCUGCAGGAUUCUAUAUCUGCACAAACAAAUGUCUGUUUUGCAAGCAACUUGUUAGCAACUUUCCUCUCCUCACCAACUAGUAAUGUGACCUACAGCAUUAACCACAUCCUUAUGGUCAGCACGGAUUUACAGUGAAAAGAAGAGAUUGGACCUGGAAAAGAAACUUUAUGAACAUAAUCAAUCUGACAUAUGCAGGUAGUGAUCUCAGCUGGUCUUGAACCGCAAACUGGCUCCUGGCUGCAGCUCCAGCCUCAGUUCAGAUCUUUUGUU
Molecule: long non-coding RNA, 512 nt
Organism: Diceros bicornis minor
Lineage: Eukaryota; Metazoa; Chordata; Mammalia; Perissodactyla; Rhinocerotidae
Exons: 3
Source: RefSeq, a predicted model, not a curated record